AACGCGAAGGGACUACCUACUCUUGACAUCCAGAGAACUUAGCAGAGAUGCUUUGGUGCCUUCGGGAACUCUGAGACAGGUGCUGCAUGGCUGUCGUCAGCUCGUGUUGUGAAAUGUUGGGUUAAGUCCCGCAACGAGCGCAACCCUUAUCCUUUGUUGCCAGCGAUUCGGUCGGGAACUCAAAGGAGACUGCCAGUGAUAAACUGGAGGAAGGUGGGGAUGACGUCAAGUCAUCAUGGCCCUUACGAGUAGGGCUACACACGUGCUACAAUGGCAUAUACAAAGAGAAGCGACCUCGCGAGAGCAAGCGGACCUCAUAAAGUAUGUCGUAGUCCGGAUUGGAGUCUGCAACUCGACUCCAUGAAGUCGGAAUCGCUAGUAAUCGUGGAUCAGAAUGCCACGGGAAUAC
This 409-nucleotide ribosomal RNA is filed under the name Citrobacter sp. Pe1. Its description in RNAcentral is "bacterial SSU rRNA". It matches the Rfam family "Bacterial small subunit ribosomal RNA", at positions 958 to 1369 of the family's 1533-position model. Lineage: Bacteria; Pseudomonadati; Pseudomonadota; Gammaproteobacteria; Enterobacterales; Enterobacteriaceae. The record is from RNAcentral.